ACAGUACAAACUGAGCAGGCGAUGGCAGCGGAGAUCAUCAGGUAACAGGCAGAUUUCCGUAUUUAGCAUAAGGCCGGGCUGCAUAAGCGGCAGCGGAUAUGGAUCACACAAACAUAUCUGCGGGACAGUG
RNAcentral lists this non-coding RNA (130 nucleotides) under unclassified sequences. RNAcentral's name for it is "NiCo sequence". It matches the Rfam family "NiCo (Nickel/Cobalt) riboswitch aptamer". The record is from RNAcentral.